GCCGCGGUAAUUCCAGCUCCAAUAGCGUAUAUUAACGUUGUUGCAGUUAAAAAGCUCGUAGUUGAAGUGUGGGUGAUCGCUGUUGUGAGACUUCGGUCUCUCGACAGUAAGUCACCCCCUUCCAGUAUCCAGUAGUGGGUAUUCAGUUACUUACUAUUGUGUGUUGGUCCUUUACUGUGAGAAAAUUAGAGUGUUCAAAGCAGGCGUUUGCUUGAAUAGAUUAGCAUGGAAUAAUAAUUGAAGGCUUUCGUGUUCGAUUUGAUUGGUUUGUUCAUGGAAGCAAGGUUAAAAGGAACAGUUGGGGGUAUUCAUAUUCACUAGUUAGAGGUGAAAUUCUCGGAUUUAUGGAAGAUGAACAAGUGCGAAAGCAUUUACCAAGGAUGUUUUCAUUAAUCAAGAGCGAAAG
Molecule: ribosomal RNA, 406 nt
Filed under: Blastocystis sp.
Lineage: Eukaryota; Bigyra; Opalinata; Blastocystidae
Description: SSU rRNA
Rfam family: Eukaryotic small subunit ribosomal RNA
Source: RNAcentral